Molecule: long non-coding RNA, 887 nt
Filed under: Lathyrus oleraceus (garden pea)
Lineage: Eukaryota; Viridiplantae; Streptophyta; Magnoliopsida; Fabales; Fabaceae
Description: Pisum sativum (pea) long non-coding RNA (PSAT_LNC021331)
Source: RNAcentral
GUUUUGAGGAAUAGGUUUCAAUUUGGGAAAAUUGAGAUUUAGGGUGUGAUCGAUUGUUUGCAUGUGUGUUAGGUUUAUGAUGCUCCUUGCAUUUCAUUUUCCUCCAUUUCUUGUAGAAACUGGUAAAGAAAUGUGUUUGUUUGGUUUAAGGUAAGAAUGGAAACAGGGAGAGAAGAAGAGAGGCUCGUUGCUUUUGUGUGAGUAUUAAUUCCGGUUUUUGGAGGAAACUUGUGUUUCUUAAACAAGGACUUAUAAUGUAAUUAAUAAAUUGGUUUUAUUUGGUUUUAAUAUACAUGAAUGAUCAUUAGUUAGUUAGCUGGCAAAUUCAUUUGGUUUUCUACCGUUGGGAAAGCCAAAAGGUUUUAAUUACCACAUGUCUCAAGCGGCUGUACAGCUGCCUUCCACUUGGAUCGAUGAAGUGAGUGAUUGCAGACUUGAGGUCUCUUCACCUUUUGCAUUUUCUUUACUCUGUUUAUUUUAGAAUGUAACAAAGUUGUUAUUGGGCCUUAGAGCCCACUGCGAAGCCACCUACUGUUGAGGCCCUCUAUUGGGCCUCCCCCCUGAUCCAUUAUUUUAGAGCUUCACUCACUUUUAUUCCAAUUUAAUUGAUUUAAUUUACUAUAUAUUUAGGACAUUUUAAAUUAAAAAUUGAGAUGACUAUGAUUAAAAUAAUAAUAGUAGAAAUUCUAUUCAAUUUGUUUUUGACUUUUUUUUAUUUGUUUUAUUUAUUUUAUUCACUUAUAUCUUUAUUUAUUUUCGUUAGGACGUUACGAACUAAUUGAAAAGAGAAUUUAAUAGAUAAUUCCUCUAAAAAAAACAAACAAUCUAGGUCCAAUACCAAAUAGUCCUUCUCAAAGUAUAUUAAUUCUAAAUAAAUUCAAAUCCAC